UGCAAUGAAAGCGGGAAGGGAGCGCGCUGCGGGGCGGCGGCGGAGGGAGAAAGUGCAGGAGGGAGAAGCGGAGCCGCGGGGCCGCUAGAGCGCCGAGAGGGGACACAGGAACAAAACCUGCAAGACUCGCAGCGACGUCAGACGAGAGGGAAACGGAGCUGGAACCCACUUCCCUCUGGGCAGAGCCGGGCUGGGCCCUCCCGGCCCCUCCUUUGCCUCCUUUGCCUCCCGCAGCCCAGGGCUGGGAGCUGGGAGAGCCCCCGGGGGGAAGCACUCGCAGGAGCUCUAUUUAGAAAGGGCAAGCCCGUGCCAAACCUGACGAACUUUCCUUUACCCAGAAUUAUAACUGGAAGUCUAAAAAGCCACAGUGUUUGAAAACACGUGUUUACAUUAUAUAUGCCCCAAAGCAGAAUAAACAAAGGUUAGAUUUGUAAACUCUCCAUCUUAAUUAAAGCAGCACUGCUUAGGACAAACCCACAUAA
This is a long non-coding RNA of Agelaius phoeniceus (red-winged blackbird), 482 nucleotides long. RefSeq lists it as uncharacterized. The record is from RefSeq and is a predicted model, not a curated record. NCBI's taxonomy places the organism in Eukaryota, Metazoa, Chordata, Aves, Passeriformes, Icteridae.